This 7170-nucleotide long non-coding RNA is filed under the name Homo sapiens (human). RNAcentral describes it as "HSALNT0147472". Lineage: Eukaryota; Metazoa; Chordata; Mammalia; Primates; Hominidae. The record is from RNAcentral.
GGGAGCCAGAGAAAUUUUCCAGUCUUAUGGAUUAAUCAACUUAUUCAUUCAUUUAUCCAUUCUUUCAUUCUUUUUAUUUUAUUUUUUAUUUUUAUGGGUACACAGUAGGUGUAUAUAUUUAUGGAACAUGAGAUGUUUUCAUACAGGCAUACAAUGCAUAAUAAUCACAUCAUGGAAGAUGGGGUAUUCAUCCCCUCAAGCAUUUUUGCUUUGUGUUACAAAAAAUUCAACUAUGCUCAUUUAGUUAUUUUUAAACGUAGCAUUAAAUUAUUAUUGACUAUAGUCACCCUGUUGUGCUAUCAAAUACUAGAUCUUAUUCAUUUAUUCUAACUAUUUCUUGGUACCAGUUAACCACCCCCACUUCUCCCUCAACCCCCCACUACCUUUCGCAUCCUCUGGUAAUGACCUGUCUACUCUCUUACUCUCUAUCUCCAUGGGUUCAAUUGUUUUGAUUUUUCGAUCCCACAAGUAAGUGGAAACGUGAUGUUUGUCUUUCUGUACCUGGCUUAUUUCACUUAACAUAAUGACAUCCAAUUACAUCCAUGUGGUUGCAAAUGACUGAAUCUUGUUCUUUUUAUGGCUGAAUUGUAUUUCAUUGUGUAUAAGUACCACAUUUUCUUUACCAUUCAUCUGUUGAAGGACAUGCAGUUUGCUUCCACAUCAUAGCUGUUGUAAACAGAGCUGCAACAGCUAAUUUCCUUUCUUUGGGGUAUAUACCCUGCAGUGGGAUGGCUGGCUCAUAUGGUAGCUCUAUUUUUAGGUUUUCUGACAAACCUCCAAACUGUUCUCCGUAGUGCUUGUAUUAAUUUAUUAAUUUACAUUACCACCAACAGUGUACGAGGGUUCUCUUUUGCUUGUGGCUGAGUUGACACUCGAACUACAAGACCCAGUCCUUCUCACUCUUCCCUCCCCUUUCCAAAGGCAGAGGAGCCUCACCCAGUGGAUAUCACUACCUCAGACCCCUGGGGACUGCUACUAGACUACCUCUGAUGUUCCCUUAAGGCUUAAAGGCUCUUCAGUCAGCUUGUAGUGAAUAUUACCUGGCUAGGACUCACCCUUCAGGGGAGUGAGCUCCUCUCUGGCAAUGGGAAGUACCAGAAAUGUCAUCCACAAGUCAAGUCCUGCAACUGGGGUCCCUAAGAGCCCACUUGGUACUCUAUUCCAUUGUGGCUGAGCUGAUACUUAAAGUGAAAAGCAAAGUUUCCUUUACUUUUCUGUUCACUUUUCUCAAGCAGGAGUCUCACCCUAAUCAGCUACAACAAUUGGAAAUGUGCCGAGUCUCUCCUAAGUCCAGCCAGUCUCAGCAUCUCACCUAAGACCUUUGAUGUAGUACCUGGAUAUCCCUGUUGGUUAUUCACAGCUCAGGGUCCCUUCAGGCAGCAAGUGAUGAAUCCUUCCAGGAAUGAGUCCUUCUCUUCAAGGCAAUGAAUUCCCUUCUUGCCUAGGGUGUGUCCAGAAAUGUCCAGGAGCUAGGGCCUGAAAUGAGGGUCUCACAACUCUGACCGGUGCUCUAUUCUGCUGUGGCUGAGCUGGUAUCCAAGAUGCAAGACAAAGUCUUCCCCACUAUUCCAUCUCCUCUCCUCAAGCAGAAGGAAGGAGUCUCUUUUACAGCCAGGAUUUUUGCAGCCUGGGCUUCGGGGAUGGGUGAGGCCAGCACUCCCUUAGCUGCCCCAGCUGGUGUCGCAGUAGGUCGCAUGCAACCACAGUCUACUGUCUCUUGGUCCAGUUCAGCCUAUGACUCACCUUGGUGUUGCAGUCCUUGAGGCCUAAAUUGCGUUUCAAAUUUAUUUGAAGCCCCAAAGCACUUUUGCCCACAGUGGUGAGGCUUGUAGGAACUCAAGUUCCAACCGCUGGGAUCAGCAAUUCCCCUCUGGCUCCGGCUGGUUUAAAUGCUGUCUUUGCGGGAGGGUGCCAGCUGAGUUUGGUCCGGCUCUGCUUUCAGCUAUAACAAGGGCAGCACUGAGUUCAAUGCCUCACAGUUGCUGGCUCUCCCUCUCCCCAGGGUGCAGAAAAGCUCUCUGCACCACAUUGCCACUGCCAAGGAAGGGGGGAGGGAUGGCAUAGGCAAUUCAAGUCUGUUUUUUCUACUUCUUCGGUGCCUCUUUCAGCGAUAUGAAUUUAAAACCAGAUAUUUAUCAAAUGCUGAUUAUAUGACAAGACCUACACUGGAUCCUUGGGAUACAACCAUAAGAUAAUUGUGACAGUCCCAAUCCUUACAAAGACAGGCAAAAAGUUCAUAGACCAUCAUUUGUCUAUGGACCACACUUUGAACACAACUGCUCUGGACAAGCAGGCCUUGGAUUUCUACGUGUUUGUGUCUUAGAUCUGUUAAACUCAGCUGACCCACCACACCCAAGCAGAACUUCAAAAGAAGCUGUGAAAAGCGUGCUUGUUCUAGCUGGAAGAUCAUCCUGAGUCCCUCCCUGUUUAUUCUUGAAAUGUUUGGGCCUCCUUUCAUCUCCAGUUCUCAGAUUUGGGCACAAUAACCGAGCUCUGAUGUCUACAUCUAACCCUGUGGAUCCCAGGCUGUCAAUGAAAUGUUUAUUUCAUGCGGAUUCCGUGGCUCUGCUGACUCAGCUUAUUUUGCAGUCUCUAUUACCCUAUUGCGAAAUCUCCCUGUCUAUGACUAGCCUCGAAAUCCCAAUUUCCAGAGGACAAGGAUCUGGACAUCCACUGCCCCUCUUCUUGCAGCACAGCCAGCCCUGGAAGGACCCUCUAACUUUAGCUACACUUGAAACAGAAAUUUUACAUGACUCACCAUAUGAUAGCAUUGAUGCUCUCCUGUAAUUCAAAUUCAACCUUCGUGUUUCACUUUCAAACCUGCUUCAUCAAAGUGACAUAUUCAAUAGAACAGAAGAGUGGCCUUUUCUGAGAUUUUUAUUAGGGGAAAAGGAUGUACAGUGAAUUACACCUCACACCUCACACCUCAAAGAAAACUUCCAAAAUAUGUUUUUUACCUAUCUUCUUUCCCCAGAUUCCCACAUCAUACAACAGUAGCUUUAUCUCUGUCUCUUUCUCUCUCUCUCUCUGUCUUUCUCUCUCUCUGAAUCGCUAGCUUAUUGUUGCUCUCUAAGUUCCAUGAAGCUGUAAAAAAAAAAAGAAUAAGAUACUUAUGAACUAAUGUGCAGCAAUUUCCCAGACAUAUUGUUAAAUGACCAAAAGCACGGUGCAGAAGAAUACAUAUAGUAUGCCACCUUUUGUGUAAAAAAGAUUAGGAAGUAAGAAAUCAGGCAUAUCUUUACAAAAAGAAAGAGGAAAAGUGAAAACUAUGAAGUUUUCAGGGGAAGCGUAUGGAACAUAUAUGCAAAGUGUGACACUUCCCUGACAAUUCCUGUUUUUACGGUUUGACAUGAAGUUAUCUUAAUAUUCUACAUACUGAAAGAAUAAACAUAAUUUGAAAAAGGAUAAGAAAGGAAAGAAAAUGAAAGCAAACGCAAACAUGAACCCAAUGUUAUUUCUAAAGAAAAAUGUAGCAUAUUACAGGGACGGUGUGGCAAUGAAAGGACAACCCUGAGUAGCUUAUGAUCACAGUAUUUGACUAUAAACCCUUAGCUUUGGGCAAGUUACAUGUACAGGGUAGAGAACACCAGACAAAUCCUGAAGGGUUUCAGAGGUAUGGGCAAAGCAAUUCUGAAAUUAUUUUAGAUCUAUUAUAAGAGUAAACAAAUUAGUAAAUGUAUCGAAGUUGUUGGGAGCUACUUGUUUUCUUGCUGUGGAAAAGGGGGCUAAUAAACAUGAAACAGAGAAAGCAAGCACUUAGUGAGGCUGGAUCAGAAUCAGUGGUAUCAGCAUGGACUCAAGAUUUCUAAAUAGAUACAUAUAUACACACACACACGUAUACAUUUAUAUGCAUGUAUAUAUGUGUACAUGUAUAUGUAUCUAAUUUAUGUGUAUAUAAAAAUACAUGUAGUAAGUAUAUAUUUAGGUGUUUAUAUGUCUAUAUACCUGUAUAUAUUUCUUAUCUCAGACCACAAAAAGACCUAGAGGCAGAAAUACCACAGUAGCAUUGAACACACUUGGUGCCCAGAUUUUAGCCCCUAAUAUCAGUCCCCACUAAAGAGAACAAGGGGUCUCGUUUUCUUGCUGCUGGUAUUCACUCAACUGCUCAAACUAAAACUUUGUCAUUCGUUUUUAAAAAUUAAUAUUACUAUUAAUCUUUAAAGAUUACUAAGUGUUCUCCAAAUUAUUUUGCAUGGUAUACAAGGACCCUCAAACUUUUAAACUUUUAAAUCAAAUUAAAUUUCUAGAGUACUUUAGCAAACGACUUGCUAAAAUCUCUAAAGAGCCCUAUUUUAUAAUUCAAACAGGAAUAAGCUGUUAAUUUGGGCUUAUUGGGUUUUACAAUACCAAAAAUGUCAAUAUGCUUAGCGACAGACUACUCUAUUAUAUCUAUGUCAUUGAAGAAACUAUUUAGGAAAUGAUUUUAACUUGCAAAUCGAGUAGUCUUUAUGAAAAAAAUACAUCUCUUUUGCUUCAGUUGGCUUUUUCUAGAUGAGGUAGAAGUUAUUGAGGAAGAUCUCUAAGCUAUAGGUUAAUUCCAAGGUUUAUCAUUAAUGCUUAUGCUGACCUUUUUGAGAAUAACUAAGUGAAUUUUUUUAAAAUCCGAGAAAGUUGACCAUAAAAGGAUUCCAGGUAUAAACAUUUUUCCAUUCCAGGUGACCUCCUGUUUUUCAUUCUAUUUCAUUUGAUUUAACUUUUUGGCACAAAACUUACAGGUUCUUUGUCAACAAUACUUAACAGACUCAGUAAAUUAGUAGAUUUUGAAGAGUGGUUUAAUCAUAAAGGAAAGAAAGUACAUGGUCCUAACAUCCUCUCUUGUAAUGGGGUAGGAUCAUGGAUUUCUUCUUGGGAAUCAGGCAGGAGCACUGCAAACUCCCAUGGACUAGCAAGUGACUCACCCUAAGGUCACUGAAGAAAGGAGUGGCCAAGGUCCAAGGGUGGGAAAAAAACCUUCUAAUUAAUUAAACUUAUACUUGACCUAGUGUGACUAGCAUUGGAGCAUUACCUGCUUCAGCGGUUUUACAAGGCUGUUGGGAAGAUGGGGCUGUUUUGUUUUUUAUUUUGUUUUGUUUGUUUACAACAGUGCCCCCCAAAGUGCCUCUUUAUUCCUAAGGACUUUAAUCACAAUUUGAAAACCACUCAUCUAUUCAGCCUCUUGGUUUUAUUUAUUGGGAACUAAGAACCAGAUACUGUGGACUUCCAGUAUGAGACAAAGGUGUUAUUUAAGCAAGUAAUGAAACAAAAAUACUUGUUGAAUACUCUCUUUCAACACUUCAAAGAAGCCAGGAAGGGAGAAGAAAGAGUUUUGGAGGGGAAUCACCACCACACCUCUCUGCUGAGUGGGUUGGGGCAUUCAACUCUAAAGCAGAGGCAAAGGAGCCCCGGGCAAGCCUGGCCAUCCCCCUAGGCUCGAUUUGCACCCAUAGGAGACUUUAGCCAUAGGGGAACUGUCAGUUCUGAAUUCUGUAGGGUGGUCUUGUCCAUCAGAUGGGACCAGUACAACCUGAGCACCCCUUGGUCUGCUAGACUCUCCUGGGGCCACAGCCUGGCCACACAUAGUUGCAGGGCAGCCUUUGGUGCCCUGAGGGCCCACACCAUAGCUUUUGCAAUGGUGGAUCACGCCUGACAGAUGGAGAGCUCCAGUGGGCAGUGCCUAUGGACACACACCAGUCCACACAUUCCCUUCCAAUACUGCGGCUUCCUCUGGGCCCCUGGCAACUCCUCACAUUGUUUUGCUGGCAUGUGGCUGCACAGGGCAGGUUUUGCUUUUGUUGCCUCACCAGCAUGCAGGAGUGCAGUCAGCCCCUCUGCCGCCUGCUGAUUGCUAUUGCAGAUGGAGCAUUGAUGGGCACAGAGCAAACCAGCCCUCCCCCUGCAAGCACCCUGCCUUAUGCAAACACUAUACAGAGAAAAGUGGAUCCACCCCUGCCCUGAGGGACCACUCCUGCUUGUAGGGCACAAAGAAGGCACCCAGACCAGUGCCUGCCAACAUCUUGCUCCCAAGCCAACACCACCUUGAGUGCGACUGCACAGUCGCAGGCAACACACACCCCUCUAGCUGCAUUGCCUCCACCACUGCGAUGAAUGCUCACAGGGAGGCAGGACCCCCAGCACCCACUAGCACUCUGCCACAGCUGCUGCUACCAAUGCUGCUGAAAUGCAGACAAGAAGGAUCCCACUGUCACUACACCACGAAACAUUUUGGCUGACAUCACCCAUCAGAGUGCAGUAAACAGUGGUCCAGGAGCACCUCAGUGCCCCCAGGAUAGCAGAUUCCUAAUCUCAAGGAGACAGAGAACAAAGUGGGGCCCAACACAAGUCCUCCAAAGUUAGAGAACUAAGCCCAGGAGUUGAGAGCUGAGGACCAAAUCUCUAAAAUCUUCCAGAAAUGAAGCCAGUUAGCUGACUGCACCUUAUACCACAAUCAAAUCCUCAAGGUCAUUAAAUAGGAUAAAAGAAAAAACACUCAUCCAAAGGUAAGCAUCCUCAAAGACUGAAGGAAGAUAAGCCCAGAAGAUGAGAAACAAUCAGUACAAGAACCCUGAUAACGCACAAAGCCAGAGUACCUUUUUACCUCCAAAAACACACAUCACCUCUCCAGCAAGGUUCUGAACUGGCUGAGAUGGCUGAAAUGACAGAAAUGUAAUUCAGAAUAUGGAUAGAAAUGAUUGAGCUAUAGGAAUAAGGUGAAAUCUAAUGCAAGGAAGCUAAAAAAUCAUAAACAAUGCAGGAACUUACAGACAAAAUAGUCAGUAUAGAAAAGAACCUAACCAACCUAAUAGAGCUAAAAAAUACACUGCAAGAAAUUUUACAAUGCAACCACAACUAUUAGUAGCAGAUUAGGCCAAGUGGAGGAAAGAAUCUCAGAGCUUGAAGACUGUCUUUCUGAAAUAAGACUGUAAUAAAGAAAUAGAGAAAAAAGAAUAAAAAGAAAUAAACAAAAUCCCUGAGAGAUGUGGGAUUACAUAAAGAAGAAAUCUAUGACUCCUGGGUGUCCCUAAAAGAGAUGGGGAGAAGGGAACUAUAUAAUCUAUUCUCAUGCUGCAAAUAAAACAUGUCUGAGACUGGGUAAUUUAUAAAGGGAAGAGGUUUAAUGGACUCACAGUUCAGCAUGACUGGGAGGAUUCACAAUCAUGGUAGAAGGUAAAGGAAAAGCAAAGGGAAGUCUUA